CGCAAAAUAGAAAAUUGAUCCUUCUGUUCAUGGUCGAGGUAUUUUUCAAUGUUGAAAAAGGUAUCAAAAAACACAUUUGUCAACUUACAUCUCUUUAAAUCAUGCAGAGUAAUUUUUCCUUCAUACUGUGGCUUCACGAGAUCCAGCAUCUGGCACAAACAAUCUUCAAAUGGCAAGGGUUCUAUGGCCAUGUUAUCUAAUUUUUGGCACUGUUCUUCAUAAAAAUACUCUAAUUCAUACAUAGACAAAGCACCAUCUCCAUCAAGAUCCAU
This 272-nucleotide long non-coding RNA is filed under the name Gallus gallus (chicken). Lineage: Eukaryota; Metazoa; Chordata; Aves; Galliformes; Phasianidae. The record is from RNAcentral.